UACGAAGGGGGCUAGCGUUGCUCGGAAUUACUGGGCGUAAAGGGAGCGUAGGCGGACAUUUAAGUCAGGGGUGAAAUCCCGGGGCUCAACCUCGGAAUUGCCUUUGAUACUGGGUGUCUUGAGUAUGAGAGAGGUAUGUGGAACUCCGAGUGUAGAGGUGAAAUUCGUAGAUAUUCGGAAGAACACCAGUGGCGAAGGCGACAUACUGGAUCAUUACUGACGCUGAGGCUCGAAAGCGUGGGGAGCAAACAGG
Molecule: ribosomal RNA, 253 nt
Filed under: uncultured bacterium
Lineage: Bacteria
Description: partial 16S ribosomal RNA
Rfam family: Bacterial small subunit ribosomal RNA
Source: RNAcentral